UUAAAUUGAAGAGUUUGAUCAUGGCUCAGAUUGAACGCUGGCGGCAGGCCUAACACAUGCAAGUCGAACGGUAACAGGAAGCAGCUUGCUGCUUUGCUGACGAGUGGCGGACGGGUGAGUAAUGUCUGGGAAACUGCCUGAUGGAGGGGGAUAACUACUGGAAACGGUGGCUAAUACCGCAUAACGUCGCAAGACCAAAGAGGGGGACCUUCGGGCCUCUUGCCAUCAGAUGUGCCCAGAUGGGAUUAGCUUGUUGGUGAGGUAACGGCUCACCAAGGCGACGAUCCCUAGCUGGUCUGAGAGGAUGACCAGCCACACUGGAACUGAGACACGGUCCAGACUCCUACGGGAGGCAGCAGUGGGGAAUAUUGCACAAUGGGCGCAAGCCUGAUGCAGCCAUGCCGCGUGUAUGAAGAAGGCCUUCGGGUUGUAAAGUACUUUCAGCGGGGAGGAAGGUGUUGUGGUUAAUAACCACAGCAAUUGACGUUACCCGCAGAAGAAGCACCGGCUAACUCCGUGCCAGCAGCCGCGGUAAUACGGAGGGUGCAAGCGUUAAUCGGAAUUACUGGGCGUAAAGCGCACGCAGGCGGUCUGUCAAGUCGGAUGUGAAAUCCCCGGGCUCAACCUGGGAACUGCAUUCGAAACUGGCAGGCUUGAGUCUUGUAGAGGGGGUAGAAUUCCAGGUGUAGCGGUGAAAUGCGUAGAGAUCUGGAGGAAUACCGGUGGCGAAGGCGGCCCCCUGGACAAAGACUGACGCUCAGGUGCGAAAGCGUGGGGAGCAAACAGGAUUAGAUACCCUGGUAGUCCACGCCGUAAACGAUGUCUACUUGGAGGUUGUGCCCUUGAGGCGUGGCUUCCGGAGCUAACGCGUUAAGUAGACCGCCUGGGGAGUACGGCCGCAAGGUUAAAACUCAAAUGAAUUGACGGGGGCCCGCACAAGCGGUGGAGCAUGUGGUUUAAUUCGAUGCAACGCGAAGAACCUUACCUGGUCUUGACAUCCACGGAACUUUCCAGAGAUGGAUUGGUGCCUUCGGGAACCGUGAGACAGGUGCUGCAUGGCUGUCGUCAGCUCGUGUUGUGAAAUGUUGGGUUAAGUCCCGCAACGAGCGCAACCCUUAUCCUUUGUUGCCAGCGGUCCGGCCGGGAACUCAAAGGAGACUGCCAGUGAUAAACUGGAGGAAGGUGGGGAUGACGUCAAGUCAUCAUGGCCCUUACGACCAGGGCUACACACGUGCUACAAUGGCGCAUACAAAGAGAAGCGACCUCGCGAGAGCAAGCGGACCUCAUAAAGUGCGUCGUAGUCCGGAUUGGAGUCUGCAACUCGACUCCAUGAAGUCGGAAUCGCUAGUAAUCGUGGAUCAGAAUGCCACGGUGAAUACGUUCCCGGGCCUUGUACACACCGCCCGUCACACCAUGGGAGUGGGUUGCAAAAGAAGUAGGUAGCUUAACCUUCGGGAGGGCGCUUACCACUUUGUGAUUCAUGACUGGGGUGAAGUCGUAACAAGGUAACCGUAGGGGAACCUGCGGUUGGAUCACCUCCUUACCUUAAAGAA
This 1553-nucleotide ribosomal RNA is filed under the name Salmonella enterica subsp. enterica serovar Montevideo str. USDA-ARS-USMARC-1904. RNAcentral describes it as "bacterial SSU rRNA". It matches the Rfam family "Bacterial small subunit ribosomal RNA". Lineage: Bacteria; Pseudomonadati; Pseudomonadota; Gammaproteobacteria; Enterobacterales; Enterobacteriaceae. The record is from RNAcentral.